UUGAUAAAAUAAUUAAAAUUUAAUUAAAUAACAACCAAUAAUUUAUAUUUUACAGCGGGAUAUGUCCGAGCCCAGGGUGACCUCCAGACCACCCUGAAGUGACCCCAGUGACCCCACUCAGCCACGGGACCCCCCUGACCCCCCCAAAUUCCAGCUCAGCCGUGGGGGCUGCGGGGCCUGCAUCCUGCACCCCCCAGGGGUCCUGAAUGGGGCGACCCCAACUCCAAACAGGGGAAUUUGGGGGUUUUGGAUCCAAUUCAAGAAUUUGGAAAAAAAUUCAAGGUGACUGACAGCUCUGACACCAGGUGCUGCAGGGACCAGAAAUUCAGCUCUUGGAUCGUGGAAGUUUCAUUAAAUACAAAUAAAAAUCUCUAUUUUUGUUUCAAA
This is a non-coding RNA of Agelaius phoeniceus (red-winged blackbird), 387 nucleotides long. Lineage: Eukaryota; Metazoa; Chordata; Aves; Passeriformes; Icteridae. The record is from RefSeq and is a predicted model, not a curated record.